AAGUAGUCAGUUCGUGCUUGCUAAAAUUGGAAUGAUACAGAGAAGAUUAGCAUGGCCCAUGCACAAGGAUGAUAUGCAGAUUUGGGAAGUGUUCCAUUAAAAA
Jaculus jaculus (lesser Egyptian jerboa) is the source of this 103-nucleotide small nuclear RNA. Lineage: Eukaryota; Metazoa; Chordata; Mammalia; Rodentia; Dipodidae. The record is from RefSeq and is a predicted model, not a curated record.